UACGUAGGGUGCAAGCGUUGUCCGGAUUUAUUGGGCGUAAAGAGCUCGUAGGUGGUUUGCUGCGUCCGCUGUGAAAACCCAAGGCUUAACCUUGGGCUUGCAGUGGAUACGGGCAGACUAGAGGUAGGUAGGGGAGAAUGGAAUUCCCGGUGUAGCGGUGAAAUGCGCAGAUAUCGGGAGGAACACCGGUGGCGAAGGCGGUUCUCUGGGCCUUACCUGACACUGAGGAGCGAAAGCGUGGGGAGCGAACAGG
Molecule: ribosomal RNA, 253 nt
Filed under: uncultured bacterium
Lineage: Bacteria
Description: partial 16S ribosomal RNA
Rfam family: Bacterial small subunit ribosomal RNA
Source: RNAcentral